Molecule: ribosomal RNA, 292 nt
Filed under: uncultured bacterium
Lineage: Bacteria
Description: partial 16S ribosomal RNA
Source: RNAcentral
GGACUACUGGGGUUUCUAAUCCCGUUCGCUCCCCUGGCUUUCGCACCUCAGCGUCAGUAAACACCCAGGACGCGGCCUUCGCCUUCGGUAUUCCUCCGGAUCUCUACGCAUUUCACCGCUCCACCCGGAAUUCUACGUCCCUCUGUGUCCCUCCAGCCCAGCCGUUUAUCGUAGCCUCCCGUCGUUAAGCAACGAGCUGUCACACGAUACGCACUGCGCCGCCUACGUGCCCUUUACGCCCAGUAACUCCGGACAACGCUCGCCCCCUACGUAUUACCGCGGCUGCUGGCAC